GGGCUCGUGGUCUAGCGGCUAUGACAUCACCCUUACAAGGUGAGAGUCGUCGGUUCAAAUCCGACCGGGCCCA
This 73-nucleotide transfer RNA is filed under the name Candidatus Iainarchaeum sp. RNAcentral's name for it is "tRNA-Val". It matches the Rfam family "tRNA". Rfam says of the family: Transfer RNA (tRNA) molecules are approximately 80 nucleotides in length. Their secondary structure includes four short double-helical elements and three loops (D, anti-codon, and T loops). The record is from RNAcentral. Lineage: Archaea; Nanobdellati; Candidatus Iainarchaeota; Candidatus Iainarchaeia; Candidatus Iainarchaeales; Candidatus Iainarchaeaceae.